RNAcentral lists this long non-coding RNA (1286 nucleotides) under Homo sapiens (human). RNAcentral's name for it is "HSALNT0204473". Lineage: Eukaryota; Metazoa; Chordata; Mammalia; Primates; Hominidae. The record is from RNAcentral.
CUGUAUUUAGAUAUAAGCCCUUUAAACCGGCAUUUAAAGUUUAAUGACGUCAUAAGGGUGGAGGCCUAUAGCAUCCAAUAAGAUUGGUGUUCUUACAACAGGUGAGAGAGACAGACACUGGGAGUGCUCAUGCGCAGAGGAAAGGCCGUAGGAGGAUGCUAUAAAAAGGCUGUUGUCUGCAAGCCAAGGGGUGAGGCCUCGGGAGAAACCAAGCCUGUUGACACCACGAUCUUGGACUUCCACCCCUUCAGAACGUCUGUGCCUCAAAGAGGAUAAACCAAAGUAUGCAUACAUCCUGAAAGCUGUGAUAUUGUGCAGAAAUGAUAUGAAUUUGAAAAAUCAUACAGAUAGCAUCAUUCAAAUAACUUGGGCUCUUCCUAUUUCCUGAACUUUUUUCACUGAAGACAACCUUGGAACACUAACUGGUUAACUGAAGGUCACAAAGAGCUCAGAAUUAAAGUUCCUUACCACUAAGCCUCCGGAGGGGAGAAAGGACAGUAUGUCACUCUGUUGCGAAAGCUGGAGUAUAGUGGCUCAAUCAUAGCUCACUACAGCCUCAAGAACUUGGACCCAAGUGAUCCCCCUGCCUCAGCCUCCUGAGAAGCUGGGAUUACAUUUGUGUGUGUUUUUUUCCCCCCCAAGCACUGCUUUAUCAGCAUUACUAUUUUGAUAUACCGUAUUUUGUUUUUAUUUGGUUUUUGUUUUAUUUGCUUUGAGAUAUAUUUUAUGGACAAGUCAUGAAUUAUCUUGAUAAAUAUUCCAUGUUCAAUUUUUUGAAAAAGCUGUAUACACAGUAGUUUUGAGUGUAGUAGUCUACACAUCUCAAGAUGCAAAUUAGGUCAAAGUGAUGGAUAGUCUUGGUCAGAUGAUCAAUAUUCUUCCUAUGUUUUGUCUACUUGUUUUAUUUUAAUUUCCCAGAGCUGAACAGUAAAAUCCUUAACAAUGAUUGUGGAUUUAUCCUUCUUUUCACUUCUUUCUGAUUUUGCUUUAUGAAUAUUGAAGUUCUUUUAUUAGAUAGAUAUCCAUUUGUCAUUGUUAUAUCUUCUUCUUCAACUGAUUCAUUCAUUAUUAUAAAGUGUUACUCUCCUUACCUUGUAAAAAAUGUUUUUUAAAAAAUUAAAAUGAUCCAUAAAAGCCUUUUUAUAAAUUAAGAUUUCAUUGUUUAUUUUUCUGUCCUUUUACUUUCAACCCACCUGUGACUUUCUGUCUAUCUUACCUGGGGUUCCUUGUAGACAGUAUGUUGUCAUUUUUUUAAAUUCAAUAUAAUAAUUGAUUCAUUUUAUCAG